CAAGCGGUGGUAAAGAGAGCAUGGGUUUCAAAGUGUGGUGAACCUGGUUCAAAUCCCCACUUCAGCACCUGCUGCAGUAUGAUCUAGAGAAAGUUCUGGAACCUGUUUGUUUCUCAUUGACCUAAGUUACCUGAAAGGGCUGGCACGACGCCAGUGGGCCCUGCUUCUGCUGCUGCUGCCAAUGUCCUUAUGCAAAUGGCCUCCGCCUUGUGCACUUCUGUUCCCAUCUGCAAAACAGGAGCCUUGGCCAGGGCAUUUCUAAGGCCACUUCCCUGUUUAAGCCACUUUAGCUUGAUGGAAGCGUCUCAGGUUUUAUACUCUGGAACAUUUGGAUAUAGCUGGGAAUUUCUCUCCUGGAGGAAGCAGAGGGUGAUGUUUCAGCCAGCAAUCCUGCACCCACAAGAAAGCCUGCCCCUGGUCAGCAGAACAGCAAUCAGAGAAGCUGCUUAUGAAGAUGGAGUGGCCUGUACCACAGAGCAUCGUGACUCUGGCCCGCAUCCCACUGAGCAACCCCAACUCCUCAUGGGAGUUCAUGGAAGCCACGGCCACCCAGCAUUGCCACAGCAAGAAGGCUCAGGAGGUGCAUAACUGAUCUGCAGAUGAACCCAGCACCUACUCAGACCUAGUCUCACUGUUGCCAGGCUAGAGUGCAGUGGCGCGAUCUCAGCUCACUGCAACCUCCGACUCCCUGGUUUUAAGCGAUUCUCCUGCCUCAGCCUCCUGAGUAGCUGGGAUUCCAGACACGCACCACCACGCUCAGGAGGAACCCAAAUGGAAUCAAGGAGUGGAACAUAAAAAUCGGUUUCUUAUGCCUCUGCACUUCACCUUUCUCCUGUUCAUCCCACUCUGCCAUCAUUGCCUGCUUGCCUCCGAAUUGCCCACGACAGUGCAGUCUGGGCACGGAUCACACCUCCCAUGCAGCGGUGGCUUUGUGAUCUGUCCACCUGGGUAAGCUGAACCACACUUCCCAGAAUUCCCUUCCCGUGUGUUUCCGGUUAGAGUGGAGCACAGAGGAGAAACUUGUGGAAGGUUUGGAGGUGGGAAGUGAAGCAGCAGUCAUUUUACAGCUCACACGAAUUGUGGCUUCUCUGCUGGCUCACCUCAGCAGAGGCAGGAACUGACAUGGGGCCGGGUGCAGUGGCUCACGCCUGUAAUCCCAACACUUUGGAGAGGCCAAGGCAGGUGGAUUGCUUGAGACCGGGAGUUCAAGACCAGCCUGGGCAACAUGGCAAAACCCUUCUCUACAAAAAAUACAAACAUUAGCCAGGUGUGGUGGCUCAUGCCUGUAGUCCUAGCUACUUGGGAGGCUGAGUUGGGAGGAUUUGCUUGAGACCAGGAAGGUCAAGGCUGCAGGGAGCUGAGAUUGGGCCAUGACACUCCAGCCUGGGCAACAGAGUGAGACCCUGUCUCAAAAAAACAAAAAAGAACUGACACAGACGGAUGUGUCUGCCUUCAAGGGCUUCCACUUGGGCUUGUCCUCCCUUACUUUAUAUCCGUCUGUCCUUCCCGAUUGUCUGCAGAGCCUGCUUAAGCAGCCCCAGUGCCAGUGACUGUGUAAGGUCAAAUUCCCACAACAAAUCUCUUCAAACAAGUACCUCUUAGUGGUUCUGCUUUUCUGAUGAAACCCUGAUGGGUACACACUCAUUUAUUCAUUCAACCAAAAAAUAUUAACUGAUAAAAAAUACUGAACACUACCAUGCACCAGAUACUAGGUGCUAGGUAGUGAAUAAAACAAAGUUCCUGCCACCAUGGUGUGAGGUGUACUGUCAUAUCCCCAAGAUAUACCCCACUGCUGAAUGAGCGUCUGAGGACCAGGUGCUGGUGCUGACUCCUCUGUUGACACCUGUGUGACUUUGGAUCAGAAUCCUUUAAUCUCUCCACAUCUAGAUUUCUUCAUUAGUAAACUGGGGUGAGCAACCUCCCAAUCUACUUCUCAUAUAAAUGCAGGUGGGGCCGGGCACGGUGGC
This 1967-nucleotide long non-coding RNA is filed under the name Homo sapiens (human). Its description in RNAcentral is "HSALNT0184748". The record is from RNAcentral. Lineage: Eukaryota; Metazoa; Chordata; Mammalia; Primates; Hominidae.